CAUGCGUUGGUUGUUAAGACACCGCCUUUUCACGGCGGUAACACGGGUUCGAAUCCCGUACGGACUA
Molecule: transfer RNA, 67 nt
Filed under: Streptococcus agalactiae
Lineage: Bacteria; Bacillati; Bacillota; Bacilli; Lactobacillales; Streptococcaceae
Description: tRNA-Glu
Rfam family: tRNA (bases 5-62)
About the family: Transfer RNA (tRNA) molecules are approximately 80 nucleotides in length. Their secondary structure includes four short double-helical elements and three loops (D, anti-codon, and T loops). Further hydrogen bonds mediate the characteristic L-shaped molecular structure. tRNAs have two regions of fundamental functional importance: the anti-codon, which is responsible for specific mRNA codon recognition, and the 3' end, to which the tRNAs corresponding amino acid is attached (by aminoacyl-tRNA synthetases). tRNAs cope with the degeneracy of the genetic code in two manners: having more than one tRNA (with a specific anti-codon) for a particular amino acid; and 'wobble' base-pairing, i.e. permitting non-standard base-pairing at the 3rd anti-codon position.
Source: RNAcentral